UAGGGAAUCUUCGGCAAUGGACGAAAGUCUGACCGAGCAACGCCGCGUGAGUGAAGAAGGUUUUCGGAUCGUAAAACUCUGUUGUUAGAGAAGAACAAGGACGUUAGUAACUGAACGUCCUCUGACGGUAUCUAACCAGAAAGCCACGGCUAACUACGUGCCAGCAGCCGCGGUAAUACGUAGGUGGCAAGCGUUGUCCGGAUUUAUUGGGCGUAAAGCGAGCGCAGGCGGUUUCUUAAGUCUGAUGUGAAAGCCCCCGGCUCAACCGGCGAGCGUCAUUAAAAACUGGACGACUUGAGUGCAGAAGAGGAGAGUGGAAUUCCAUGUGUAGCGGUGAAAUGCGUAGAUAUAUGGAGGAACACAAGUGAAGAAGGCGGCUCUUUGGACUGUAACUGACACUUAGGCUCGAAAGCGUGGGGAGCAAACAGG
This 429-nucleotide ribosomal RNA is filed under the name Gemmatimonadota bacterium. RNAcentral's name for it is "Gemmatimonadetes bacterium partial 16S ribosomal RNA". It matches the Rfam family "Bacterial small subunit ribosomal RNA", at positions 355 to 776 of the family's 1533-position model. The record is from RNAcentral. Lineage: Bacteria; Pseudomonadati; Gemmatimonadota.